Molecule: ribosomal RNA, 3527 nt
Filed under: Triticum aestivum (bread wheat)
Lineage: Eukaryota; Viridiplantae; Streptophyta; Magnoliopsida; Poales; Poaceae
Description: partial small subunit ribosomal RNA
Source: RNAcentral
AAGCCAUCCAACGGUAAUGGGAUGGGACGGGAGCAGUUUCGCUCAGUUGCUCUGCCGCCUGCCGCUCGGCACCUUAUCUCCUCCGUCUCGCGCCACUCCACGGCACCAUGCACUCGCCGGCGCGCUGCCCCGCCGCCACCGCCACCGCGUCCCCGCCUCUGCGCGCGCCGUUCGUCGCCAUGGCCCAGCGCGGCCGCAGGCUGCCCUCGUCCGCGCCCCCCGAGGCCGAGCAGCCGGACGAGGCGCUCGCACGCAUCCUCCGCACGGAGGCCGCCGUCUCCGGCGUCCCCCGCAAGGCCGCGGCGGGCUCCAGCCAGCACUCCACCCGCCUCUGGCCCCGCGCCGUCCUCGAGGCCCUCGACUCCGCCGUCGCCUCCUCCCGCUGGGAGUCCGCCCUCGAGAUCUUCGAGCUGCUGCGGAAGCAGCGGUGGUACGAGCCGAGGACGCAGACCUACGCCAGGCUGCUGAUGAUGCUCGGCAGGUGCCGGCAGCCCGGCCCAGCCACCGCCCUCUUCAAGGUAAUGCUCUCGGAGGAGCGGCUCGCGCCGACGGUGGACGUGUACACGGCUCUUGUCGGCGCCUACGGCUACAGUGGCCUGCUGGACGAGGCAUUGGCCACGGUCGAUCUGAUGAAAGGCGCUGACGCAGACUGCAAGCCGGACGAGUACACCUUCUCCGUCCUCAUCAACUGCUGCUGUAAGUCGCGCCGCUUCGACCUGAUCCCCACCGUCCUCGACGAGAUGUCAUAUCUGGGGGUUGGAUGCAACGUUGUCAUCCACAAUGGGAUAAUUGAUGGGUACGGCAAGGCCGGCAUGCUAGAGGAGAUGGAGGAUGCGCUGUCCAACAUGCUUCAAGACGGGGACAAUGUGCCGGACAUAUACACGAUGAACUCCAUCAUAUGGGCCUACGGCAACCGUGGCAGGGUGGAUGACAUGGAGAGGUGGUACGGUGAGUUUCAGUUGAUGGGCGUUGAGCCAGAUACGUGGACAUUCAAUAUCAUGAUGAAGUCUUACGGCAAGGCUAACAUGCCUGACAAAAUGCUGUCCAUCCUGAAAUACAUGAAGCGGCGUUUCUUCUCACCCUCUGCUGCUACGUUCAACAUAAUCAUAGAUUGUUUUGGAAGGGCUGGCAACAUUGAGAAGAUGGAGUACUAUUUCAGGCUGAUGAAAAUUCAGGGUGUCAAACCCAACCCCAUCACAUACUGCUCGCUGGUUAAUGGAUACAGUAAAGCUGGGCUCCUUGAUAUGAUUCCUGCAAUUAUUCGACAGACGGAGAACACCGAUGUCGUAUUAGAUACUCCAUUUUUCAACUGCGUUAUCAGUGCAUACUUCAAGUCUGGAGAUACCAAAAUAAUGGAGGAAAUGCUAGUGCUAAUGAAUGAAAAGAAAUGUAAGCCAGACAAGGUAAUUUAUACCACCAUGAUUCAGGCAUAUAUUGCGCAUGGGAUGGAUGAAGCCGCUAAGUUGUUAGAAACAGAAAUGGAAAGAUUUGACAAGAAAUUACUGGGACCAGUUCCUGAGGUUGAUUACAAGUAAACUGCGGCCAUCAUUUUUUAGGGGACAGAGCAGUAAGAUUUGUGUAAUACGAGAUUGGGGAAAGAGAGCAUGUAUGAGGGGGCCUUCAGAGAAUAUGGUUAUAAAUCCACAGAGCUUGGCCAUAAUGACCAUUAGUUCCAUCAACACCAGACUAAGCGUUCCCAGUUCGAUGCCAAUGACAGGCAAUAAUGAACAAUGUGGAAUGGAAAACCAGCUGUGGCCUGUUGUGUCCGAAACAGGAGUCCGACACGGCCUCAUUGUGCAAAGCCAUUUAGACGUUCAUCUGAUCUGACUGAAUGCACAAGUACAAACCCAGACAGAGCUUAACUUGGGAUAUCUAGAAGUGGAAGGGACUGUGGUACAGCAGAUAAGGUCGGGUUCAGAGCUCCAGCCCAUUAUAUAUCCAUAUCAGUGUGUAAAUCUAGUCCCCUUUGGUUCUGCAUGAAAAUUCACUACCAAAAUAAGGGAUAUAGAGAACAAAUCGAAAAGAAAGAAACAACCAUUUGAAUUUCCCUAGAAUUUUUAGCACCACUUUCAGAGCACAAAGUACACAUUCUCGAAGAAGUUCAGCUUUACACAUGAUGCUAAUCGAUACAGUACAGCUUGACCUCCAAACUUCAAACAAAAACCCAGAGCCAGACUGCUCAUCAUACUGCUGGCAGUGGCGCGACCUUCUCUAAAAUGUCCAUCAUAAUCCAUGGGCAGCUUGCUGUGAGGUGCUUAAAUCCAUCAGUCUCCUUGACAGCUCGAAGCACCUCCUGUGAGGAAAGGUAUCCGAGACAAGCAUUCUUCCGUUGCGCCGCAUGGUGCUGCUCCGCUAAAGCAUUCUUCAGUUGCGGCUAACACGCAUCGAUUUUGCACUGAACUGUUGGCCGGCAACACUGAACGUCACAUCCAUGCCUUCUCCAUCCUUCAGCAUGUUCAUAAAGUGUGUGUGCAGGUCUGACUGUGGGACUGAGACUAUGUCUGUGCUUAAAUUUUCAGUGCGAGGCUAUUUCAUCACGGUCAAAACGCACCUGAUCGUGAUGCGGUCGUCAUUGAGGGGUAGCAGUUCCUUCAGCUUGGACUUGUGAAUGAACUUGUCCCAGCCACAGACCCACAGUAUUUACCUACCGACUGGAAGAAACCCAAGCUGACGGCCAUGUAGGCAGCUUUGCCCUCCUCCUUCCACCCGUCAGGGUAGAUCCUCAUGUUCCAGUCGUAGCCGCUGACGCUGAAUGUGCUCGAGCUGACGAACUUGCCGAUGCCCAUACCCUCGAGCAGCGACUACUUAAUCACCUCGAAGUUGUGGGCGGUGGUGACGCACUCUGUCAGGCAUCUCGACGAGGUCUCGGAUGUGGGCUUGUUAACUGAGGAAGAUGAGCUGUUGGCCAUGGCGUGGAAUGGGAGUGUGGCUUUUGUAAUACUUUAGGAAGAAGACGAGUUGUUGGCCAUGGCGUGGGGUGCAUAUAUAAACUCAGUACGUACUGUACAUGACUCUGGAAGACGUUUAGUCUUCAGUAAACUUGAGAAUGCCUUUACGGCAUUGAACAAGUUCCCAUGCGAUUGUGUUAAACGACGGUGCAUGCAUCGUUUCAAAUUCCCAUGCUGCUGCCGCCUUGUGUUUAUGGGCGUGAGACGGUGUUUCAGCAAUUCAAAAUUCAAUCCAAAAUUUGUUUGUCGCCUGACCGUCAAAAUCAUCCAUCUCAGAUGCGUGAACACACGCGGAGCACUACGCACAAGGAACGCAGAAAAUCAUCGUACGUCAAGGAUCUUGAUUUGGAGCAGCAAAUCAAGUUCACUGCAAACUUAGCAAAGCUACUCCCGGCGGAAUAGAGCCCCCCUAUGUUUUUUCUUUUCUUUUAGUAUAAAGUUGGGUCAUCUAUUUUGAAACGGAGGGAGUACGUAGGAUCCCGCAAAAAACAUUAGCGGGCGAGCGAUUUUAUAGGAUCUGUUUGGUGCGGAAAAUCGGCCCCCGUCCGCUAUAUUGACGGUUAUUAUAGCGUACGGCCC